This 403-nucleotide ribosomal RNA is filed under the name uncultured Diversispora. RNAcentral describes it as "SSU rRNA". It matches the Rfam family "Eukaryotic small subunit ribosomal RNA", at positions 569 to 976 of the family's 1831-position model. The record is from RNAcentral. Lineage: Eukaryota; Fungi; Glomeromycota; Glomeromycetes; Diversisporales; Diversisporaceae.
AGCAGCCGCGGUAAUUCCAGCUCCAAUAGCGUAUAUUAAAGUUGUUGCAGUUAAAAAGCUCGUAGUUGAACUUCGGGGUCUACCCAUUGGUCAGGCUUAAUUGUCUGCACUGGUGAGAUGGAUCUCUACCUUCUGAGGAACUUUCAUGCCAUUUAUUUGGUGUGGUUGGAAAUCAGGACUGUUACUUUGGAAAAUUAGAGUGUUUAAAGCAGACUAUCGUCUGAAUACAUUAGCAUGGAAUAAUGAAAUAGGACGGACUGAUUCAUUUCGUUGGUUUCUAGGAUCACCGUAAUCGAUUAAUAGGGAUAGUUGGGGGCAGUUAGGUAUUCAAUUGUCAGAGGUGAAAUUCUGGAUUUAUGAAGACUUACUACUGCGAAAGCAUUUGCCAAGGNUGUUUCAUUAA